Molecule: small nuclear RNA, 102 nt
Filed under: Sorex araneus (European shrew)
Lineage: Eukaryota; Metazoa; Chordata; Mammalia; Eulipotyphla; Soricidae
Source: RNAcentral
GCUCGAGCAAAUCGAUGAGCAACGGGUUGACUGUGACAGAGAAAAUUAGCAUGGCCCCUGCACAAGGAUGACAUGCAAAUUUACUACUAUAAAUAAAUAAAU